RNAcentral lists this ribosomal RNA (253 nucleotides) under uncultured bacterium. Its description in RNAcentral is "partial 16S ribosomal RNA". It matches the Rfam family "Bacterial small subunit ribosomal RNA", at positions 524 to 776 of the family's 1533-position model. The record is from RNAcentral.
UACGUAGGGUCCGAGCGUUGUCCGGAAUUAUUGGGCGUAAAGGGCUCGUAGGCGGUUUGUCGCGUCGGGAGUGAAAACACCGGGCUUAACUCGGUGCUUGCUUUCGAUACGGGCAGACUUGAGGCAUGCAGGGGAGAACGGAAUUCCUGGUGUAGCGGUGAAAUGCGCAGAUAUCAGGAGGAACACCGGUGGCGAAGGCGGUUCUCUGGGCAUGUUCUGACGCUGAGGAGCGAAAGUGUGGGGAGCGAACAGG